RNAcentral lists this ribosomal RNA (436 nucleotides) under uncultured bacterium. RNAcentral describes it as "bacterial SSU rRNA". It matches the Rfam family "Bacterial small subunit ribosomal RNA", at positions 28 to 481 of the family's 1533-position model. The record is from RNAcentral.
GACGAACGCUGGCGGCGUGCUUAACACAUGCAAGUCGAGCGGUAAGGCCCUUUCGGGGGUACACGAGCGGCGAACGGGUGAGUAACACGUGGGUGACCUGCCCUCAGCUCUGGGAUAAGCCUGGGAAACUGGGUCUAAUACCGGAUAUGACUCCAUGACGCAUGUUGGUGGGGUGGAAAGCCUUGUGCGGCUGAGGAUGGGCCCGCGGCCUAUCAGCUUGUUGGUGGGGUGAGGCCUACCAAGGCGACGACGGGUAGCCGGCCUGAGAGGGCGACCGGCCACACUGGGACUGAGACACGGCCCAGACUCCUACGGGAGGCAGCAGUGGGGAAUCUUGCGCAAUGGGCGAAAGCCUGACGCAGCGACGCCGCGUGAGGGAUGACGGCCUGGUUGUAACUACUUCUAGCUCCGACGACGACGAGAGUGACGGUAGGAG